RNAcentral lists this ribosomal RNA (497 nucleotides) under uncultured bacterium. RNAcentral's name for it is "partial 16S ribosomal RNA". It matches the Rfam family "Bacterial small subunit ribosomal RNA", at positions 28 to 507 of the family's 1533-position model. The record is from RNAcentral.
GACGAACGCUGGCGGCGUGCCUAAUACAUGCAAGUUGAGCGCUGAAGGUUGGUACUUGUACCAACUGGAUGAGCAGCGAACGGGUGAGUAACGCGUGGGGAAUCUGCCUUUGAGCGGGGGACAACAUUUGGAAACGAAUGCUAAUACCGCAUAAAAACUUUAAACACAAGUUUUAAGUUUGAAAGAUGCAAUUGCAUCACUCAAAGAUGAUCCCGCGUUGUAUUAGCUAGUUGGUGAGGUAAAGGCUCACCAAGGCGAUGAUACAUAGCCGACCUGAGAGGGUGAUCGGCCACAUUGGGACUGAGACACGGCCCAAACUCCUACGGGAGGCAGCAGUAGGGAAUCUUCGGCAAUGGACGAAAGUCUGACCGAGCAACGCCGCGGGAGUGAAGAAGGUUUUCGGAUCGUAAAACUCUGUUGGUAGAGAAGAACGUUGGUGAGAGUGGAAAGCUCAUCAAGUGGCGGUAACUACCCAGAAAGGGACGGCUAACUACGUG